Molecule: ribosomal RNA, 492 nt
Filed under: uncultured bacterium
Lineage: Bacteria
Description: partial 16S ribosomal RNA
Rfam family: Bacterial small subunit ribosomal RNA
Source: RNAcentral
AGUGAACGCUGGCGGUAUGCCUAACACAUGCAAGUCGAACGGCAGCACAGUAACUGCUUGCUCUAACGGGUUGCGAGUGGCGUACGGGUCAGGAAGACAUCCUAAUCUACUUUUUCGUAUAGGAUAACGAAAGUAGACUUACGCUAAUACCGCAUACGACCUACGGUUGCAAGCUGGGAAUCUUCGCACCUUGCGCGAUUGAAUGAGCCUAUGUCGGAUUUGCUAGGUGGCGGGGUAAAGGCCCACCAAGGCGACGAUCCGUAGCUGGUCUGAUAGGAUGAUCAGCCACAUUGGAGCUGAGACAGGGUCCAGACGCCUACGGGAGGCAGCAGUGGGGAAUAUUGGACAGUGGGGGGAAGCCUGAUCCAGCCAUACCGCGUGGGUGAAGAAGGCCUUCGGGUCGUAAAGCCCUUUUGUUGGGAAAGAAAAGCAGCAGGUUAAUACCCCGCUGUUCUGACGGUACCCAAAGAAUAAGCACCGGCUAACUUCGUG